Molecule: ribosomal RNA, 119 nt
Organism: Onychostoma macrolepis
Lineage: Eukaryota; Metazoa; Chordata; Actinopteri; Cypriniformes; Cyprinidae
Source: RefSeq, a predicted model, not a curated record
GCUUAUGGCCAUACCACCCUGGGUGCGCCUGAUCUAGACUGAUCUCAGAAGCUAAGCAGGGUUGGACCUGGUUAGUACUUGAAUGGGAGACCGCCUGGGAGUACCAGGUGCUGUAAGCU